GACCUAGCUUCUGCCCUCGUGGAGCUUACAGCGUGGGGCGAAAGGAGACUGAUCAAAAUGCCACACACAUGUAAUUUACAACCUUGGGAAGUGCCAAGAAGGGGAAGUGUUGGGUGCCACUGAGAACAUUCACAGAGGUUAACCUGGGGCUGAGGUGGAGGAAAGGUCAGAUGGAAGCUGUCUAACCACCCUGGGCUUCUGGCUUAGGAUGUGUAGGGCUAGCAGCUCAGCCCAUGAGGUUGUGUCUUGAACUUGGGUAUUGAUGGAAUAGCUAUAGAAACAGAACAACCAUGAAGUGAAGAUGGUGAAUGAAGAUCCUCUCAUCAGCUUGCGAUUGCAUGACAGAGGAGGCUGCAAGGACACUCAGGUGUGAAGACGGGGCAUGCAGAAGGAAGAGAGCCUUCCAGAGGAAAGUCGCCUUGUUCCUUGCUUUGUGACCCUCAUCUCCAAGGUUCCGGGUGAGAGCUAGCCAGCUCUGCAUUUGGAGCAGAGAGAGGAGUCCAUUCAACAUGGCAAUGCCCACUGGAGUUGGAGGCACACUUCAUUUCUCUGCCCAGCUCGGCAGGCGGCUGGAGCAAACCAGGAGAUCGCCUCAAAUGUUUUAAAUGUCAAUAUGGUCCCUUCUUGCUGGCUUGCCAAGAUUUGACCAGCUAAAUUGGCCUGUGUGGUGUGUUCCCUGCAGUGCACGGUGAGAUAAAAAUGACUGGGCAUCCAGAUUAAUGACUGGAUCACAUGCAGGAACGUACUGGCUGUGAGCAGCCCUGGGCCAGGGCAGAGGUGAACUUGACAAUCAUGUGGACGCUGGCUUUUGAUUACUGCUUCUUCUGGGCUCACGCUACCCAGGGCUCUCUUUAGACCAUCUCUAGGUGAACUUUCUGCCCCAGGAAUGAUCACCUCCAUUUUACUGGAAAUAGCCCUGGAGCAGCUGACCGGUUCUAGGAGCUGAGAACAGGGUGAUGGGUAAGAGGGACAAGGGCUUGCUCUCACGGUGUUUACAUUCUAGUGGGGGCAGGAGACAAGUCAACAGAUCAAUAAUUUCAGA
This 1042-nucleotide long non-coding RNA is filed under the name Homo sapiens (human). RNAcentral's name for it is "HSALNT0245998". The record is from RNAcentral. Lineage: Eukaryota; Metazoa; Chordata; Mammalia; Primates; Hominidae.